AUCAACCACCCGAGCCACUGCCUGUUCACCCCGCUAUCAUCCAGAAGGCGAGAAAAAAAAUUGAAUGCAUUCUGGGACCAGGAGGCAAAGAAACCGCUGUGCCCAAUCAAAGUGUCUGCCAUUUGCACGUUUUUUAUUAUGUGAAACCAGAUGGAGGAGAAGGAAGUCUUAAAAAUAAUUAUAUUGAAGCGUAACAAUUAGUCGAAAUUGCUUAAGUCCAAGAUUUAGGUUUAAACUGUAGUAACUUGGAGGCUAAGGCGUAACUUUUUGAUUUGUUAACUCAGUGAUGCUUAUAAUUUACUGUUUCACAAUUCCAGUGGGUCAGAAGUUUACAUACACUAAGUUGACUGUGCCUUUAAACAGCUUGGAAAAUUCCAGAAAAUGGUGUCAUGGCUUUAGAAGCUUCUGAUAGGCUAAUUGACA
This is a long non-coding RNA of Oncorhynchus mykiss (rainbow trout), 423 nucleotides long. RefSeq lists it as uncharacterized. Lineage: Eukaryota; Metazoa; Chordata; Actinopteri; Salmoniformes; Salmonidae. The record is from RefSeq and is a predicted model, not a curated record.